CAUUUAUUCAUCAAGGUACUUAUACGGGUGCUCCCCGACUUACGAUGAGGUUACGUUCUGCGAAACCCAUCGCAAGUCGAAAAGGUGACAACUGUCACACCUGCAAGCGCACGACUCAACUCCGCACCUGCAGACCAUCAGGGCACAAAGACAGAAGGUUCUGCUUCAUCCCUGGACUCAGCAGUGCUCGACCGCUUGCACCACGUUGUCUCUGCCCAAGGCACCGUGUUGGGCUCACACAAGCAAUCUCUGCACCGGAUCAAAGAGACGCUCCGUGGUUUAAUCACCCUCCUGGAAGAAGGCAGGAUCGUCCAGACAACCCCUGCCUCAGCCUCCCUGGAGCCUCCUUGUGCCACGGC
This 359-nucleotide long non-coding RNA is filed under the name Scleropages formosus (Asian bonytongue). Its description in RNAcentral is "lncRNA (ENSSFOG00015029426.1)". Lineage: Eukaryota; Metazoa; Chordata; Actinopteri; Osteoglossiformes; Osteoglossidae. The record is from RNAcentral.